Apis cerana (Asiatic honeybee) is the source of this 3275-nucleotide long non-coding RNA. RefSeq lists it as uncharacterized. The record is from RefSeq and is a predicted model, not a curated record. NCBI's taxonomy places the organism in Eukaryota, Metazoa, Arthropoda, Insecta, Hymenoptera, Apidae.
AAUAAUCUUCUCAUAUUAAAUGAAAAAUAUAAAAUUCUAUUAUUAAAUAGAACGCAAUUUUCUCAUUUAACGAAUUUGAAAAUCUUUUAAUUGAAAAUAAAUUUUAAUAAAUUUUAAGUUUCAUCUUAAAUCUAUGAAUAUUUGAAUGUGUGUAUGUGUGUAUGUAUCGAAUAAAUAUUGAUUAUCGAUUAAUAAGUCAAUCAUAAUAUUGUUGACAACUCUUUUGAUUAUAUAAUCAUCGUUAUACCAAUAAAAAUAAAAUAUCGUAAUCACUGUAUGAUUGCUUGAAAUAUAUAAAUGUUUAAUUGGAAAGAGUAUUUGAUUCGUGAUCAAUAGUGUGUGACUCGAGUGCAAAAAACAAAAAAACAAAAAACAAAAAAAAAAUCUGUACUAUUUUAUAAAUAAAAUCAAUUGUAUACUACUCUACGUUACAUCAUUAAUUUAUAAUGUAAUUGUUAUAAAACAUAUGGUACGAAACUUAUUAUUAUGUGGAUAAACUUCGAGAUCUACGAGAACGGAAUAUAAAUCAAUGCGAAUCAACGCGAAGCCGGAAUUCGCUGCAAUCUGGCCGACGGAUCGACCGCUUCUGGCGUGUCGUUUAUCGAAUACGCGGAUGGAACACACGUCGCUGUGUAUAUACGCACACCAGGAAUCUCGAUGGAAUCCGGAAUAGGCUAAGAGGGCCCUUGAAGAUGCCUAGCCGGUGGCGGUGAAUGGCGCUCCGAGUGGCGAACAUUUAUCCCGUCCAUACUUCAUUGGUCCACAGUUGACGUGAGUACAAGGAAAUGGCAUCUAACGGAUUAAAAUCGGACAUCUAGAUAGCUAACGCAACGAUUCCUGAGAACGAUUCAAUGGAAUUAGAAUUUUUCCCAUUCUUGUUUCCUUUUCUAUGUUUGUCUUACGUCCUUUUCUUUCUCCCUUGUCUUUUUUUCUUUGUCGAUACGCUGCUCCUUCGUUGAUUCGAUUGAUUUGAAAUAUAUUAUGAUAUCAUUUUCACAAUUAGUAAUCUAUUAUUUUUUCCGUUGUUCAGUUCAUCCUUAUAUUAGGAAUUAUUUUGAUGUUUAGAUUGUUGAUUAGAUUGUUGAUAAGUGGCGAUAAUGGUUUUCGCUUGUAUAAAUAGAUUUCAACAUAAUAGUAUUAAAAAUCUUUUACAAAUAUCUCAAAAACUAACUAUAUAUUACAUGUAAAAUAAAUAGUAAAAAGUAAUUGAAGAUAUAAUCUUUUAUAACACAUUUUAAAUCCAUCAAAAUUUUUAUAAUUUGACAGAAAUGUUAAUACAAGAAAAAAUGUACAAUUUGAGAGGAAUAUUAAUAUCAAAAAAAAAUAUAAAAUUUAAUAGGAAUUUUUAUAUAUAUAUAAAAAGAAACUGACAAAAAUUUUAAUACCUCUCAUUAUCAAGGUAUUAACAUCUUUCGUAAAAAGAGCAUGAUAUAAUAUUUUAAUGUAUAUAAAGAUUUCAUGGAAAAGAACAAUACUUUAGAACAAAUUAUUAUUAUUAUUCUUGUUUAUAAAAUAUUUUAAUUCUGUCUGUGUAAAUCUUUCCAAUAAUUUUAACAACUAUUAUUUCUCUCAUUACAAGAAAAACUGUAGGAAAAAAAUAAGAUAAGAAGUCAAGAACUGUCGAAUGUAAAAUGCCGAGGAGCAUCCGAAAAAUUUAAUUUGCUUGGUAUGUCGCUCCAUAAAAUGUACACGAAGAACGUAAAAACGAGACACUCGUUCGUGGCAGAGUUGAUGGCAAUUCUGGGAAGCUAUGUAAAACCGUCGCGUCGUCGUGCGAGACGUAGGAAAAUAAUAAUAUUUUCAUGGUAAAAUGCGAGCUUCUGUAACAUGUUUUCACGAAAGAUACAGAUAAAUAAAGUAACGAAUGUAUAAAUACAAUAAUCGUCGUUUUGUUGUAUCAAUCUUUAAAAAUUUAACAUAAUUUAUAAAGUCAAUUUUAUCAAUCUUUCAUUAAAUAUUUAUUAAUGAAAGUAUUAAUUAUGAAUUUUUUUUAAAGAUUUAAUCUUUUUUUAAAGAUAAUCAUAAAAUGAUUUAUGAAUGUGAAAAAAAUAAUUAAAAGUAAAAAUAAUUAAUCUAUCAUAACCAAUAAAUAUUGAAAAAUAUUAAAUAUUUAUCAAUCAUUAUAAUAAGCAAUAAAUACACAUACAAUCAGAAUAUGUUGAAUGAAACAGAAUAUCAUGAAACUUAAGAAUUAAUUACAGUGAUAAGCAGAAACGUAAACUAGUAAGUAAUGUAUACUAAAGUAAUCUAAUGUAAACUAAAAUAAUCUUAUCUUAAGAAAAAUACGAUAAUAAUUAAUAAUUUUAGUUAUUUUAAUUAUAGAAAUUUUAAUUAAUUACAUUAUAAUUAUAAGCCAAAUUUAGAAUAUUUUUAAAAAUAACAAUAAAAUAUUAUUUCAAAUAUACAAAUUUUUUUUUAUACAAGUUUUAUAUUUUUUUUCAAAAAUUCUAUAUUUUUUUUUCUUCUGAACUUUAUAUUUAUUAAAAAAAAAUUAAUUUUUAAACAAUCAUAAAUUUAUCAGUCCUUAUUUUUAUUUCUGUUUUUAAUUUUGCAUUAUGAAUUUUAUGUAAAAUGAAUAUGUGAAUAAAAUAUAUAAAAAAAAUAUGAAAAUUUUUUUUUAUCAGAAAUAAUUAGCGAUCAUUCUUUAUGAAAGUUCGAUGUUUAUAAAUUUUCCUUAUCUUCAUAAGUAACUCAUUUUAAACUUGCAAUUUCAUGUAAUAAUAUAUUAUUAAACGAAAAAAAAAUUCAUUUCUUUUUUCUUCGAUUUUUUUUUUGCGUUUCUUUGAGAUUUUAUGUUAAUUUUCUAAUUUGAAAAAUUGAAAAAAUAUAUUUUACAAUAAAAUAUUAUGACAAUUUAUUUUUAUAAAUUUAAUUUAUAAUUAUAUUAAUAACGAAAUAAAAAUCAAAAUUUUUCAUAAAAAUAAUUGAAAUUAUUAAUUAUAAUUGUAUUUUUUAUAAAACAAAUGUUAACUUUUGUUUGUUAUUGUAUUUUAAAAUAAAUAAAUAAACUACUUUAUUAAAUAAUUUAAGUACAAUAUAAAUAUAUUUAAAUAUAUUUUAAUAAUUAUUAUAGGGCAUAACAGAAAAAAUAUAUUUUUAAAAAAAAAUAAGUUAUUUUAAAUAUUUCAGAAAGAAUAAUCCUAAUAAAUAUAUCCCACAAUAUUUCUCUCUUUCUUUUUAUAAUAUUUUUUUCUCUUUCGUUACAAAUAACUGAGAUCUGAUGGAACAUCCUACAUAAUCGUAUGAUUAAGUUUGAAGCAUUGUAAAAAAGAAAA